RNAcentral lists this ribosomal RNA (486 nucleotides) under uncultured bacterium. RNAcentral describes it as "partial 16S ribosomal RNA". It matches the Rfam family "Bacterial small subunit ribosomal RNA", at positions 28 to 507 of the family's 1533-position model. The record is from RNAcentral.
GAUGAACGCUAGCGGCAGGCUUAACACAUGCAAGUCGAGGGGCAGCGCGGGAUAGCAAUAUCCUGGCGGCGACCGGCGGAAGGGUGCGUAACGCGUGAGCGACAUGCCCGUUGCCCGGGGACAACCGGUGGAAACGCCGACUAAUCCCCGAUGGGAUAUUGUGCCGCAUGGCACGAUAUUGAAAGUUACGGCGGCGACGGAUUGGCUCGCGUCCGAUUAGCUUGUUGGCGGGGUAACGGCCCACCAAGGCUGCGAUCGGUAGGGGUUCUGAGAGGAAGGCCCCCCACAAUGGGACUGAGACACGGCCCAUACUCCUACGGGAGGCAGCAGUGAGGAAUAUUGGACAAUGGGCGGAAGCCUGAACCAGCCAUGCCGCGUGCGGGAAGGAGGCCCUAUGGGCUGUGAACCGCUUUUGCUUGGGGGCAAUAAGGGCGUCGCGCACGUCCGAUGAGAGUACCAGGCGAAUAAGCAUCGGCUAACUCCGUG